GAAAAGGAAGCUUUAUAAUUCCCAAGGGCCCUGUCUGAAAAAGUCAUGCAAACUCAGGUAUUUCUUCCUCUGAUGUCCGCUCAUCACGACUGAAAAAGUGAGAAGUCUUUGAGUUCACUACCAGGACUCUAUCUAGAUCUCCAUGGUAUCAUUCACUGAUGGCUUUCAUACUGGGUGACUUCUCCGAUAUCGUCACAUUCUUCCGAUGCUAUUUGGCCUGCAGUAAUUCUUUGGAGAGAACCAUAUGAGCUACAGAAAG
Molecule: non-coding RNA, 259 nt
Organism: Tupaia belangeri (northern tree shrew)
Lineage: Eukaryota; Metazoa; Chordata; Mammalia; Scandentia; Tupaiidae
Source: Rfam